This is a long non-coding RNA of Taeniopygia guttata (zebra finch), 2967 nucleotides long. Lineage: Eukaryota; Metazoa; Chordata; Aves; Passeriformes; Estrildidae. The record is from Ensembl.
GGUGUGUGAAUAAACUCAAGAAGUGGGGCUUGCAUUUAAACACAACCUCUUCAACCUGUCGCUGUUACAACCUUCAGCCACACUUCCAAACCCCAUUCCAGGUCUUUUCCUCCUCCUCCAACCCUCAGCCAGUUGUUCAGACAGAAAACCUGACUUCCAUAGGCAAAGAACAACAAAUAUUCCCAAAAAACUACAGAAUAGGGAAACAGCUCAAGAGCCUCUUCUAAAGAAAAGAAGAUAAAUGCAUUUAAAAUGUCCUUACCAGCGACAUCCAGUAAAUAUCCUUUGGAGCAAAGGCUCUCCAGUCUUCCCUCCUGAGCAGCACUGGGCGAGAGCGAGGGGGUUUGGUGGCUCCCGGUGACACGUGUGGCCCACACAGCCAAUCUGGCUCCAGCCCGCUCGAGUUUCAUCCCUAAAUAUACUCGGUGACCCCGAGGGAGGGCACCUGUUCUCAGCAGCAUCAGGGAAAGGGAGCUGGGCACCUCCGUGCUCCUCAGGAAACCCAAAGCACACCAGAGCUGGGCUGGAGCUCACCAGGCUCGGUGAGAUGGAGCCCCAGGCAAACCCAAUGGAAAAAACACAAUUAUCAGAGUUGAUAAUGACAUUGAAUUUCAGCUGAUGGAGGCCUGAAUAACCAUCCAAAUUCAAGAAUCUCUGAACUUGAGGAGUCCACACUGCAAAGUAAAUUUUAGUAUAAACAUGUCUAAUUUCACCCCAUGAGGACACCUGAAGUGCUUUUUCACCUUGAUGCAAAUCGUGUGUCAAUGUUUUUAUCCCUUAUGAAAUGUUUCAUAGCUGAUCACACAGACCCAGGAACGUGUGAAAAGCGACUGUUUGCAGGGAAGGAACCCAACAAAGAGCCAACAUCCCUGGUGAAGGAAGCCCAAGAAGAGCUGAUAAACAGAUCAAGUGACGGGGAGCAACCCUGGUAUUUUGGAAGGUCAGGAAUGCCGUGGUGCAUGGAGCAGAACCAGGGUGAUGAUAACAGACGUGACUUCUUAGGGGAUCACUCCACUGACAAAUAGAGUUGACUUUGGUUUAUCAACGAGUUGCAUUCAAAAGCCAAUAUCAACAAUGAUCCCUUUCCAUGUGCUAGACCACAUAAUUCAGGAAGUGGUUCUCAGGAGCUCUUGAGAGACAUCUUUUUCCUUAACUCUUUCCAGAGGUUCAUAUUUAUAUCCAGAUGAAAUAUCAUAUCUCAUUCACUUCUGCCAAGUAUUUUAGACUCUGCCCAGAGCUGCAGACCCCUCCCUGUCUCCUUUGGCCGAGCCAUUUUCAAUUACUCUCCAUUUUGCUUUACUAGGCAGUCCUUCUCCUUUUAAUCUGAUUUCUGUUUAUUUAACAUUCUUAACCUCUUUUGAAAUUGUCUAGAAAUUAUCACAGCAUGUUGUUGGGGUCUCUACUCCUGAUCCUCCAUGUGCACUCCAAGAAUACUCACAGGCUCCUUUUCCUCCCAAGAGUUGCUUCUCAAUAGAUUUGAUGCCACACAUGACAUCUUCAUUAUCAAUAACAAACCUUAAUGGAGUGAAGGGCCAGCUUUCCUUAUUGAAUAAUUCAUUAUUGUCAUUCCAGCCCAAUCCUGGAAGUUCCUGCAAAGAAUUUCUCCCUCAGUGAUACUCUGCAAGCCCUGUGUUACUGGAGCAUCACCUUCAGAUUUUACACUGCUGUUUGACAUCUCAUUUAGAAAGACACUAAACAAAAAUGGAAUUACACUCAGGGUGCCAGCACCACUUUUUCUGCCCCUGAAAUGCAGCUGUCUUUUAGUGUGGCAGAUCUUCAGCAGCACAGCUCAGGGCUGGAAAAAAGCAUGGAGUAACCAAUGGAAUUUACAGAAGGAGGUUGAGAACAAAAGGGUUAUUGGUGAAAUGAAAAGUUGAACUGGAGAUAAGAUUUUUGUUCUGCCAUCAGAGUACAAAGAGGGGAGGAAAGUGCUGUUGGGUCACUUGAGAAAAUAUUUCAAUUCCUGCAUUUUGUUGCUUUGCUCCUUCAGGUCCAAAUCUCAAGGACCAGCUCUGAGAAAACUGUAUCCACUGUGUGGGCAAGGAGAAUCCCAGGAUCCCUGAGGCUGGAAAAGCCCUGUCAGCCCAUGGAGUCCCAGCUGUGCCCAAAGCCCACCCUGUCCCCAGCCCAGAGCUCUGAGUGCCACCUCCAGCAAUUCCUUGGAUACCUCCAGGGAUGGCGACUCCAAAUCUCCCUGUUCCUAACAUGUAUGAGGUAAAGGGAAUACCAAUGGUUGAUAUUCCUAUUUUCUUUUCGAUUGCUUUGUUGUGAAAACUUAUGUCUGAUUUUUGAUGGAAUAUUCUGACGGAAUAUUCACAAAACCAUAGAAUCAUUAAGGCUGGAAAAGAUCUCCAAGAUCAUCAAGUCCAGCUUUUGACUUUCUAUGAAAAUACAAACUUGACUUUCUGGAGGAGAAAUAUUUCCAAAGCAUUCACUGUGCCCUAGGUGGAGCCUGGCAGCUUUGCCCCAGGUUAAUGCACCAGGCCAGAUUUAUCCACGACACACAAAUGAGCACGUGCUCAGCAGUUCUGAGCUAAAGACAGAACACUGCAAAACUACUCAGGCAGAAAAAGAGAUUGUUUUGCAUUUCAGUCACCAAGAUUUAAAGCAAAAAAAUAUUUUCUUGUACUUAACGUAUUUAAAUAUUGAGUUCAGUCAGUCCUGCUUAUCCUACAGGAGCCACUCAGAGCAUGAUGGAUAAAUGUCCUGACAUCCCAGGUGCUAUAUUUAACCUCCUGACAUCCCUGGACUUAACAAGCAUUGUAUCAUUGGAAAAGGACAUUUAAAUAAUUUAAAUACAUAUUUGUGCCACCGUGUCUAUUUUUAAUCUACCACCAGUGAGUUCCUUCUCAUUCUUUUUGCCAUUCCCCACAGCAAGGCUCCUCUGCCCCAACACCUUUUGGUUUAAUGUGUUGAAAUACUGUGGACAGCAUUUAAAAUUAAAAAAAAAAAAGAAAAACAAAAAAA